Molecule: long non-coding RNA, 369 nt
Organism: Daphnia pulicaria
Lineage: Eukaryota; Metazoa; Arthropoda; Branchiopoda; Diplostraca; Daphniidae
Exons: 3
Source: RefSeq, a predicted model, not a curated record
GAACAAAUUAUUAAGACAAACAAGACCAUUGGCUGGUUUAUUGGUUAUCAGAGUGGAUCCAGAUUUGCAGCAUGCUUUCAGUGUUACUUCAAUGCUGCACCAGGUUAACUGCAAUGAGUUUUCCAAGAACUUCUCAUUCCUGUCAAUUUGGUGUGACCCGGACUUCUAGAGUUAUCUGAGGGACAAGUCGUCAAGGCACUUUUAAAAAAUGUACGCGGACCUCCGCUGCACGGUACAAUUUCCGUCUGCGCCAUCGGCUUUGCCGGGAUUUUUUCCCCCCUUCCCCAAGCUGACAAAGCGCAGACGACCACGACGACCACUUACUAUCGACGCAAUAGUCGUAUCGUGAAAAAUUGUUUCUCUUUUAAA